This 162-nucleotide ribosomal RNA is filed under the name Rhizanthella gardneri. RNAcentral describes it as "5.8S ribosomal RNA". It matches the Rfam family "5.8S ribosomal RNA". Rfam says of the family: 5.8S ribosomal RNA (5.8S rRNA) is a component of the large subunit of the eukaryotic ribosome. The record is from RNAcentral. Lineage: Eukaryota; Viridiplantae; Streptophyta; Magnoliopsida; Asparagales; Orchidaceae.
UAUGACUCUCAAUAAUGGAUAUCUUGGCUCUUGCAUUGAUGAAGUACGUAGUGAAAUGUGAUACAUGAUGCGAAUUGCAGAAUACCAUGAACUAUCAAGUUCUUGAAUGCAAGUAGUGCUCAAGGCUAACUGGUUGAGGGCACGUCUUCCUAGGCAUCACGG